Molecule: ribosomal RNA, 382 nt
Filed under: uncultured eukaryote
Lineage: Eukaryota
Description: partial 18S ribosomal RNA
Rfam family: Eukaryotic small subunit ribosomal RNA
Source: RNAcentral
CAAUAGCGUAUAUUGAAGUUGUUGCGGUUAAAAAGCUCGUCGUUGGAUUUCUGUUGAGGUCGAACAGUGCCGCCCUACGGGUGCGCAACUGGCUCGGCUUCGGCAUCUUCUUGGAGAGCGCAUCUGCACUUAACUGUGUGGAUCGUACUUCAAGUCAGUUACUUUGAGGAAUUGUGAGUGUUUCAAGCAGGCUUACGCCGUUGAAUCCGUUAGCAUGGAAUAAUAGGAUAGGACCUCGGUUCUAUUUUGUUGGUUUUGAGAGCUGGGGCAGCGAUUGAUAGGGACGGAUGGGGGCGUCCGAACUUUACUGUCAGAGGUGAAAUUCUUAGAUCGGUCAAAGGCGAACUACUGCGAACGCAUUCGCCAAGAAUGUUUUCUUUAA